This 1311-nucleotide small RNA is filed under the name Pan troglodytes (chimpanzee). RNAcentral's name for it is "processed transcript". Lineage: Eukaryota; Metazoa; Chordata; Mammalia; Primates; Hominidae. The record is from RNAcentral.
GUCGCAGCUCGGGUACCCCUCGGGCGCCCCCGCCGCCGUCCGCGCGCGGCCAUGGAGCUGGAGGUGCCGGACGAGGCGGAGAGCGCUGAGGCGGGGGCCGUGCCCUCGGAGGCGGCGUGGGCGGCAGAGAGCGGGGCGGCGGCAGGUUUGGCUCAGAAGAAGGCGGCCCCAACAGAGGUUCUGUCCAUGACGGCACAGCCGGGCCCUGGCCAUGGGAAGAAGUUGGGCCAUCGAGGUGUGGACGCAUCCGGCGAAACCACCUACAAGAAGACCACCUCCUCCACCCUGAAGGGUGCCAUCCAGCUGGGCAUCGGCUACACCGUGGGCCACCUGAGCUCCAAGCCCGAACGCGACGUGCUCAUGCAGGACUUCUACGUGGUGGAGAGCAUCUUCUUCCCCAGCGAAGGCAGCAACCUCACCCCCGCCCACCACUUCCAGGACUUCCGCUUCAAGACCUAUGCACCUGUCGCCUUCCGCUACUUCCGGGAACUCUUUGGGAUCCGGCCAGAUGAUUACUUGUACUCCCUGUGCAAUGAGCCGCUGAUCGAGCUGUCCAACCCAGGCGCCAGUGGCUCCCUCUUCUACGUCACCAGCGACGACGAGUUCAUCAUCAAGACCGUCAUGCACAAGGAGGCCGAGUUCCUGCAGAAGCUGCUCCCUGGCUACUACAUGAACCUCAACCAGAACCCGCGGACGCUGCUGCCCAAGUUCUAUGGGCUGUACUGCGUGCAGUCGGGGGGCAAGAACAUCCGCGUCGUGGUCAUGAACAACAUCCUGCCCCGCGUGGUCAAGAUGCACCUCAAGUUCGACCUCAAGGGCUCCACCUACAAGCGGCGCGCCAGCAAGAAGGAGAAGGAGAAGAGCUUCCCCACCUACAAGGACCUGGACUUCAUGCAGGACAUGCCUGAGGGGCUCCUGCUGGACGCCGACACCUUCAGCGCCCUGGUCAAGACGCUGCAGCGGGACUGCCUGGUCCUGGAAAGUUUCAAGAUCAUGGACUACAGCCUGCUGCUGGGCGUGCACAACAUCGACCAGCACGAGCGCGAGCGGCAGGCGCAGGGCGCCCAGAGCACCUCAGAUGAGAAGCGGCCUGUGGGCCAGAAGGCGCUCUACUCCACGGCCAUGGAGUCCAUCCAGGGUGGUGCCGCACGUGGGGAGGCCAUCGAAUCGGAUGACACGGUCUUCGCUGGCCUGGCGGGGGAGCAGGUGAGCGUACCAGCCUGUGGCGUGAGCAGAGCGUGCAGGGCGCCGGCCCAGCGGGUCUGGAUCCUGGUGGCUUCAGGAUGGCUGCUGCACGUGUGGCCUCACUAA